RNAcentral lists this ribosomal RNA (551 nucleotides) under uncultured Glomeromycotina. RNAcentral's name for it is "SSU rRNA". It matches the Rfam family "Eukaryotic small subunit ribosomal RNA", at positions 548 to 1098 of the family's 1831-position model. Lineage: Eukaryota; Fungi; Glomeromycota. The record is from RNAcentral.
UUGGAGGGCAAGUCUGGUGCCAGCAGCCUCGGUAAUUCCAGCUCCAAUAGCGUAUAUUAAAGUUGUUGCAGUUAAAAAGCUCGUAGUUGAACUUCGGGGUUUACCCAUUGGUCAGGCUUAAUUGUCUGUACUGGUGAGAUAAAUCUCUACCUUCUGAGGAACUUUCAUGCCAUUUGUUUGGUGUGAUUGGAAAUCAGGACUAUUACUUUGAAAAAAUUAGAGUGUUUAAAGCAGGCUAACGUCUGAAUAUAUUAGCAUGGAAUAAUGAAAUAGGACGGCUUGGUUCUAUUUCGUUGGUUUCUAGGAUCACCGUAAUGAUUAAUAGGGAUAGUUGGGGGCAUUAGUAUUCAAUUGUCAGAGGUGAAAUUCUUGGAUUUAUUGAAGACUAACUACUGCGAAAGCAUUUGCCAAGGAUGUUUUCAUUAAUCAAGAACGAAAGUUAGGGGAUCGAAGACGAUCAGAUACCGUCGUAGUCUUAACCAUAAACUAUGCCGACUAGGGAUCGGACGAAGUUAAUUUUAUAAUGACGCGUUCGGCGCCUUACGGGAAAC